This 321-nucleotide ribosomal RNA is filed under the name uncultured Lentisphaerota bacterium. Its description in RNAcentral is "bacterial SSU rRNA". It matches the Rfam family "Bacterial small subunit ribosomal RNA", at positions 29 to 351 of the family's 1533-position model. The record is from RNAcentral. Lineage: Bacteria; Pseudomonadati; Lentisphaerota.
AACGAACGCUGGCGGCAUGGAUUAGGCAUGCAAGUCGAACGGCGAAGAGGGGGCAACCCCUCCAAGCAGUGGCGAAAGGGUGAGGAACACGUGAGUAACGUACCCCCAAGUUGGGAUAGCUCCGGGAAACUGGAUUAAUACCGAAUGUGACCGCUCCUCGCAUGUGGAGCAGGUUAAAGAUUUAUCGCUUGGGGAUCGGCUCGCGUCCCAUUAGCUAGUUGGCGAGGUAACGGCUCACCAAGGCGACGAUGGGUAGCUGGUCUGAGAGGACGACCAGCCACACUGGGACUGAGACACUGCCCAGACUCCUACGGGAGGCAG